This 769-nucleotide long non-coding RNA is filed under the name Ananas comosus (pineapple). Its description in RNAcentral is "long non-coding RNA (ACOM_LNC003309)". Lineage: Eukaryota; Viridiplantae; Streptophyta; Magnoliopsida; Poales; Bromeliaceae. The record is from RNAcentral.
GUUUAUAAGAAGCUUCUUAUCAAAAACUCAACAUAUUUGAAUUAUUCUACACUAUUAAAUGAGAAAACGCCUAAUUAAUAUAGACAGUUGAAAUUAAUUGUCUCCUUUUUUAAACUAUUUGAUCACUAGAUAUAAGAAGUCUGGGGCCCAUUUUGUAAAGCCUUUUCUAAGAAAAGACCAGUUUGAAGAUAGAGUUAGUGAAAAGUACCUUUUUUAAAAAACAUAAUUUUACCGAUGUGACGGGACAGACUCACCACAAAUAUAAGAAUUUCUCUAUCAACUUGGACAGUCUCCCCUAUAUUUUCAUGGCGUAUCAUCUAAUACAAUAUCGACAACACAACAUCACUCACACAGAUCAGCAAACACAAUACCAAUGCUCAUGCGAUUAAUCAGCUAACCAUCAUUAAGAUGAUGCAUACUCUAAGUACUCCAUAGGCGAGGGAUGAUGCGGAUGCACAAUACACCAACCAACUCUAUCUUUUAAAAGUAUUUUCCACCCGAAAAUUUUAUUUUAAAAACCUAAUACAACGAUAAAUCCAGAAAAUUAUUUUGAAAAUUGUUUCGCACACAAAAACUCAUUUUCUGAAAUCCAACUAUCACAAGGGUAGAAAACUGUUUCGUCAUAAUAUCACAAUUACAACAUCACCACUAUCACAGAUAGUAAACAGAAACUCACUAUUCAUUUAUUCUUAAAAUAAAUAUUCACAUGAACCAAAUAAUCGAAUAACUGAACCACUACACAGCCUACUUUAUUAAUGAAUAAACAUAA